RNAcentral lists this ribosomal RNA (273 nucleotides) under uncultured bacterium. RNAcentral describes it as "partial 16S ribosomal RNA". It matches the Rfam family "Bacterial small subunit ribosomal RNA", at positions 524 to 796 of the family's 1533-position model. The record is from RNAcentral.
AACGUAGGGGACAAGCGUUAUCCGGAUUUACUGGGCGUAAAGCGCCCGUAGGCGGCGGCUUAAGUUGGACGUGAAAGCUCCUGGCUUAACUGGGAGAGGCCGUUCAAAACUGAGCCGCUAGAGUGAGGCAGAGGAGCGUAGAAUUCCCGGUGUAGUGGUGGAAUGCGUAGAGAUCGGGAGGAAUACCAGUGGCGAAAGCGGCGCUCUGGGCCUAAACUGACGCUGAGGGGCGAAAGCGUGGGGAGCGAACGGGAUUAGAUACCCUCGUAGUCC